UACAUAGGGGGCAAGCGUUGUCCGGAAUCACUGGGCGUAAAGAGAGCGUAGGCGGUUUUAUAAGUCAAUGGUGAAAGCCCGAGGCUCAACUUCGGAAUUGCCGUUGAUACUGUAGAACUAGAGUGUGGGAGAGGAAGAUGGAAUUCCUAGUGUAGCGGUGGAAUGCGUAGAUAUUAGGAGGAACAUCGGUGGCGAAGGCGAUCUUCUGGAACAUAACUGACGCUGAGGCUCGAAAGCGUGGGGAG
RNAcentral lists this ribosomal RNA (245 nucleotides) under uncultured Eubacteriales bacterium. Its description in RNAcentral is "uncultured Clostridiales bacterium partial 16S ribosomal RNA". It matches the Rfam family "Bacterial small subunit ribosomal RNA", at positions 524 to 768 of the family's 1533-position model. The record is from RNAcentral. Lineage: Bacteria; Bacillati; Bacillota; Clostridia; Eubacteriales.